AUUUUGAACCUGCACCAGCACCGUGCAUGUGCAUUAGCUUCACCGACAUGAACGUGCUUAAUAUUUUUCGUGGUCAAAGCUGGUAGAUUAAUUCAGGUUUCAAUAAUAUUUAAAACACUGCAUAUAAAUAAACACAUAUUCGAAUAUUAAUGUUUUGCUUAUAAGGGUUUGAUGAUUUUUGGAAUCUAACAUGGAAUUGAUCGCGACAAUGAUGGCAUGUAUAUGGUUUUAAAGUAGAGUAGCUUCUUUCAAUUUAAAAUAAUCUGAGAAAAAUAUUAUGGGCUAGAUCUUGAAGAUAUAUAAUGGGCAUAUGUCUAUUUUUAUUGUGCAGCUUAUAAGAGAAGUAUUGAAUAUUAUCAUAGAGUCGUAGUUAAUGAGAUUUUGCUGCCACGAAGAAUAUAGAGUUCUCACAUGUAAGACGCCAACGGAAACUAUAACAUCACUGAGGAAGCUAGAGAGAUUGAAAAGCAACUCAGACAGCCCACUAAGGACAAGAAUGAAGCUAUGCGAGGCCAAGACUUUGAGAAGGCUGAAAGUAUGACUAGAACUAGAACUUAGUGACGAGAUAGCUGUUGUUUUAGUCAAAGACAAAGAAGUGAGCAAAGCUGAGACUGAAGCUAGACAAGCAGGACCUACUGUCACUGAAUCCGAGAAAGUAUUGUAUGAAAAAUCUAGAUGUCUUCCCAAUAUUGCGUAGAGCCUUCACACGAGUUAUUGUCGAAGACAGAUGUUAAAGCUAUUAUAUGGGCGAUCCAACGUGCAUGUGUUGGGCUCAAGAAUCCGAACCGCCCAAUCACAAGUUUCAAAAGUGUUGUAUGUACUUUAUAUUGUGUGUAGUGAUUCUUUCAUGCUUCUUGAUCCUACAUCUAAAACAUCACAUUGUAUUGUGUUUCGAUGCAAACAGGUUUGUAAAC
Molecule: long non-coding RNA, 914 nt
Organism: Brassica oleracea var. oleracea
Lineage: Eukaryota; Viridiplantae; Streptophyta; Magnoliopsida; Brassicales; Brassicaceae
Exons: 3
Source: RefSeq, a predicted model, not a curated record